This 439-nucleotide ribosomal RNA is filed under the name Gymnachirus texae (Gulf of Mexico fringed sole). RNAcentral describes it as "partial 16S ribosomal RNA". It matches the Rfam family "Bacterial large subunit ribosomal RNA", at positions 1963 to 2558 of the family's 2925-position model. The record is from RNAcentral. Lineage: Eukaryota; Metazoa; Chordata; Actinopteri; Pleuronectiformes; Achiridae.
AAUCACUUGUCUUUUAAAUGAAGACCCGUAUGAAAGGCAUAACGAGGGCUUAACUGUCUCCUCUUUCCAGUCAAUGAAACUGAUCUCCCCGUGCAGACGCGGGGAUAAUACCAUAAGACGAGAAGACCCUAUGGAGCUUCAGACAUAAGGUAGACUAUUUCAAACACCCCUCGACAAGGAUUGAAUCUAAUAGAAACCUGCCCCUGUCUUAGGUUGGGGCGACCCUGGGGAAACACAAAACCCCCAUGUGGAUAGGGAGAACCCCUAAAAACCCGAGAUACAACUCUAAUUAACAGAAUCUCUGACCAAAAUUGAUCCGGACGAACCCGAUUAACGGAACAAGUUACCCUAGGGAUAACAGCGCUAUCCCCUUUUAAAGUCCAUAUAGACAAGGGGGUUUACGACCUCGAUGUUGGAUCAGGACAUCCUAAUGGUGCAG